This 163-nucleotide unclassified non-coding RNA is filed under the name Borreliella garinii. RNAcentral describes it as "partial 5S-23S ribosomal RNA intergenic spacer". The record is from RNAcentral. Lineage: Bacteria; Pseudomonadati; Spirochaetota; Spirochaetia; Spirochaetales; Borreliaceae.
UUUGUUUAUACAACAUAGAAUAAUAUAUAUCUUUGUUUAAUCCAUGUCAAUAUAUAUUUUAUUUUUUAUAUUAUUUGAAUAAAACAUUGAAAAACAUGAACAUCUAAAAACAUAAAAAAUAAAAUCAAUGUUUAAAGUAUAAAAUAAAAACCCUGGCAAUAAC